UACGUAGGUGGCAAGCGUUGUCCGGAUUUACUGGGCGUAAAGGGUGCGUAGGCGGAUAUUUAAGUGGGAUGUGAAAACCCCAAGCUUAACUUGGGGACGGCAUUCCAAACUGGAUAUCUAGAGUGCGGGAGAGGAAAGUGGAAUUCCUAGUGUAGCGGUGAAAUGCGUAGAGAUUAGGAAGAACCCCAGUGGCGAAGGCGACUUUCUGGACCGUAACUGACGCUGAGGCACGAAAGCGUGGGGAGCAAACAGG
This 253-nucleotide ribosomal RNA is filed under the name uncultured bacterium. RNAcentral's name for it is "partial 16S ribosomal RNA". It matches the Rfam family "Bacterial small subunit ribosomal RNA", at positions 524 to 776 of the family's 1533-position model. The record is from RNAcentral.